This 362-nucleotide unclassified non-coding RNA is filed under the name soil metagenome. Its description in RNAcentral is "partial contains 5.8S ribosomal RNA, internal transcribed spacer 2, and large subunit ribosomal RNA". The stretch from base 1 to 120 matches the Rfam family "5.8S ribosomal RNA", at positions 35 to 154 of the family's 154-position model. The record is from RNAcentral.
GAUGAAGAACGUAGUGAAAUGCGAUAAGUAAUGUGAAUUGCAGAAUUCAGUGAAUCAUCGAAUCUUUGAACGCACCUUGCGCUCCUUGGUAUUCCGAGGAGCAUGCCUGUUUGAGUGUCAUUAAUAUAUCAACCUUCUCUUUUUUGAGUUGUUUGGAUGUGGGGGUUUGCUGGCCUCUUAAAUGAUUCAGCUCCCCUGAAAUGCAUUAGCAGAACAACCUGUUCAUUAGCGUGAUAAUUAUCUAUGCUAUUGAAGGUGAGGGCAGUUCAGCUUUCUAACCGUCCUUGGACAAUUCAUCAUUAAUGUGACCUCAAAUCAGGUAGGACUACCCGCUGAACUUAAGCAUAUCAAUAAGCGGAGGA